CUACGAGACGCUGCAGUGGGGAAUAUUGCACAAUGGGGGGAACCCUGAUGCAGCAACGCCGCGUGGAGGAUGACGCAUUUCGGUGUGUAAACUCCUUUUAUAUGUCAAGAAAAUGACGGUAGCAUAUGAAUAAGCACCGGCUAACUCCGUGCCAGCAGCCGCGGUAAUACGGAGGGUGCAAGCGUUACUCGGAAUCACUGGGCGUAAAGGACGCGUAGGCGGGUUGGAAAGUCAGGUGUGAAAUCCUACAGCUUAACUGUAGAACUGCACUUGAAACUUCUAAUCUAGAGUAUGGGAGGGGGAGAUGGAAUUAGUGGUGUAGGGGUAAAAUCCGUAGAUAUCACUAGGAAUACCUAAAGCGAAGGCGAUCUCCUGGAACAUUACUGACGCUAAGGCGUGAAAGCGUGGGGAGCAAACAGGAUUAGAACCCCAGUAGUC
This 438-nucleotide ribosomal RNA is filed under the name uncultured bacterium. RNAcentral's name for it is "partial 16S ribosomal RNA". It matches the Rfam family "Bacterial small subunit ribosomal RNA", at positions 339 to 795 of the family's 1533-position model. The record is from RNAcentral.